UGAAAUAUUACUAAUAAUUUUUAAUUAAAAAAAAUUAUUUAUAAAAUGUGUUUGUUUACACUUAUAUUUAGAUGAAAAAAAGUCACCUGUUAACCAGGAGAGGUCUAUGUAGAUCCUAAGCUCCAUAAAACCUAUAACUCAUGAAGUGCCGAACAAAAUCAAAAAUUUGCACAUAUAUACUUUACCUAAAAAUAUUAAGCUACUUAAAGAUCCGGACAAAAAUAUUUAAAUAAUUUUAAGUAAUAACGUUUUUAAUAUGGCUGGGUUCUGCAUAGUUCCACCUGUGCUAUAAAGGGCUAAAGGAGAAAAAAUACAUUUCCAUUCUUAUAUAGUUUUGAAAUAUGGCCAUACAAAGGAUCGGGAUGAUAGAAGUUUAUAGACAAUGGAGAUGAAAAUGCUGAGAAUGCAGUAGUAUUAAAAAAGGACAAGUAUGCCAAUAUACUAGGAAGUUAAAAGGUAGUACCUAUUGAAAGAAAGAUCACGGUGAACAGACUUAGAUGGUAUGGACAUACGAUGAGAAGGCAUAGAAGCUAUAUAGGAAAAAAGUGAGUCUAGAAGUCAUGGGUAAAGAGAGUAAACUCCAAUGGGCCCACAAUGUUCAAUAUAACGAAAUAUAAAUUGAAUUAGAUGGAUAGUAUGAAUAAUAUAAAAUGGAAGGGGAUAUCAAAGGAGCUCACCACCCGAAAAGGUGAAAGCUAAAAUAUAAUAAUUAUGGAUUAUAAAAUAUAAAAGUUUUUACAAAGACGGCCUAAUUUAAAAAAAAACUAACAUAUUCCAUAUAUCUUUAUUUUUUUGGAAAAUAUUUUACAUUUUUUCCAAGUGAUGUGUGUUAAUAUCAUUCAUGACUGUCGAGUUAUUGGUUAAAACAUUUUUCAUUAUAUAGGCUACCUUCCAAUAGAAAGUUUAUGUCAAAAUUUAUAAUGUGGGGAAAAUUUUUUAAAUUGCGGGUGAUUUGAGGUAGAGAGUCCUGUCUCUUGUUGAUGAGGAGAAGGGCUUACAUCAAUCGAAUAUCAUGGUAUAUAUAAUUUAUAUUAUUUUUUAAUUUCCCUUUUAGGACAUAAAACCUUUCGUGAACGAGUCUUCGGAAUUGUCAACAUUUCAAGCCCUAUAAUAGAUGCUAAACCUUAUUCACUACAAUAUUAUGGAUCGAAUAUAUUGUAAGGAAGAAUAAAAUUCACCAUUAAGGAUAUUAUUUUAUAUGAAUUAAUCUUGGGGUUAUUAUCAUGUCGAUAUCAUUUAUAUUUUUAAAGCUUUUACCUUAAAUUUAUAUUCCUU
Gordionus sp. m RMFG-2023 is the source of this 1275-nucleotide long non-coding RNA. RefSeq lists it as uncharacterized. The transcript has 4 exons. Lineage: Eukaryota; Metazoa; Nematomorpha; Gordioida; Chordodea; Parachordodidae. The record is from RefSeq and is a predicted model, not a curated record.